Molecule: long non-coding RNA, 326 nt
Organism: Syngnathus acus (greater pipefish)
Lineage: Eukaryota; Metazoa; Chordata; Actinopteri; Syngnathiformes; Syngnathidae
Exons: 4
Source: RefSeq, a predicted model, not a curated record
UGUGUUCCUACAAAGACUACGUAUUGGGCUACCAUCGAGUGGAAACUUCCUACUGCGACCCUGGCGACUUCCUGUACAAGGGCUCUUGCUAUCACUUUGGGAGGAUGGAGCGCACUUGGAAGGAUGCCGAGAAGUUCUGCCAAGAAUCGAAAGGUCACCUGGCCAGCGUCCUCUCAUGGGACGAGGGCAAAUUCUUGGCUGCUCACGCGCCAUAUGUAGGAGGAUUGCAAUCUUGGGUGGGACUCAAGAAGAACAAGGGCAACUUUGAGUGGAGCGACGCAACACCUGCAGGCAAGAUCGAGUGGGUCCCAGACAAGCCAACCGGA